UACGGGAGGCAGCAGUGGGGAAUAUUGGACAAUGGGGGGAACCCUGAUCCAGCCAUGCCGCGUGUGUGAAGAAGGCUUUAUGGUUGUAAAGCACUUUAAGCGAGGAGGAGGCUCUUCUAGUUAAUACCUAGGAUGAGUGACGUUACUCGCAGAAUAAGCACCG
RNAcentral lists this ribosomal RNA (163 nucleotides) under uncultured bacterium Af1-519. RNAcentral describes it as "partial 16S ribosomal RNA". It matches the Rfam family "Bacterial small subunit ribosomal RNA", at positions 340 to 495 of the family's 1533-position model. The record is from RNAcentral.